AAUGGGGGAAACCCUGAUGCAGCGAUGCCGCGUGAGUGAAGAAGGCCUUUGGGUUGUAAAACUCUUUCGUCGGGGAAGAAAAUGACUGUACCCGAAUAAGAAGGUCCGGCUAACUUCGUGCCAGCAGCCGCGGUAAUACGAAGGGACCUAGCGUAGUUCGGAAUUACUGGGCUUAAAGAGCUCGUAGGUGGUUAAAAAAGUUGAUGGUGAAAUCCCAAGGCUCAACCUUGGAACUGCCAUCAAAACUUUUUAGCUAGAGUGUGAUAGAGGUAAGUGGAAUUUCUAGUGUAGAGGUGAAAUUCGUAGAUAUUAGAAAGAACACCAAAUGCGAAGGCAACCUACUGGGUCACUACUGACACUGAGGAGCGAAAGCAUGGGUAGCGAAGAGGAUU
This 392-nucleotide ribosomal RNA is filed under the name uncultured Gammaproteobacteria bacterium. RNAcentral describes it as "bacterial SSU rRNA". It matches the Rfam family "Bacterial small subunit ribosomal RNA", at positions 370 to 779 of the family's 1533-position model. The record is from RNAcentral. Lineage: Bacteria; Pseudomonadati; Pseudomonadota; Gammaproteobacteria.